GUGCCAGCAGCCGCGGUAAUACGGAGGAUGCAAGCGUUAUCCGGAAUGAUUGGGCGUAAAGCGUCCGUAGGUGGUUAUGUAAGUCUGUGGUUAAAGCGUGGGGCUCAACCCCAUAAAGGCCAUGGAAACUACAAGACUUGAGUAAAGUAGGGGUAGAGGGAAUUCCCAGUGUAGCGGUGAAAUGCGUAGAGAUUGGGAAGAACACCGGUGGCGAAAGCGCUCUACUGGACUUAAACUGACACUGAGGGACGAAAGCUAGGGGAGCGAAAGGGAUUAGAUACCCCUGUAGUCCUAGCCGUAAACGAUGGAUACUAGGUGUUGCCCGUAUCGACCCGGGCAGUGCCGUAGCUAACGCGUUAAGUAUCCCGCCUGGGGAGUACGCACGCAAGUGUGAAACUCAAAGGAAUUGACGGGGGCCCGCACAAGCGGUGGAGUAUGUGGUUUAAUUCGAUGCAACGCGAAGAACCUUACCAGGGCUUGACAUGUCUGGAAUCUCUGCGAAAGUAGAGAGUGCCUUCGGGAACCAGAACACAGGUGGUGCAUGGCUGUCGUCAGCUCGUGUCGUGAGAUGUUGGGUUAAGUCCCGCAACGAGCGCAACCCUCGUUUUUAGUUGCCAUCAUUAAGUUGGGCACUCUAGAAAGACUGCCGGUGACAAACCGGAGGAAGGUGGGGAUGACGUCAAGUCAGCAUGCCCCUUACGUUCUGGGCUACACACGUACUACAAUGCAACGGACAAAGGGCAGCUACACAGCGAUGUGAUGCUAAUCUCAUAAACCGUUGCUCAGUUCAGAUCGCAGGCUGCAACUCGCCUGCGUGAAGUCGGAAUCGCUAGUAAUUGCAGGUCAGCAUACUGCAGUGAAUUCGUUCCCGGGCCUUGUACACACCGCCCGUCACACCAUGGAAGCUGGCAACGCCCGAAGUCAUUACCCCAACCGCUUGCGGAGGGGGAUGCCUAAGGCAGUGCUGGUGACUGGGGUGAAGUCGUAACAAGGUAACC
This 998-nucleotide ribosomal RNA is filed under the name uncultured bacterium. RNAcentral describes it as "bacterial SSU rRNA". It matches the Rfam family "Bacterial small subunit ribosomal RNA", at positions 505 to 1501 of the family's 1533-position model. The record is from RNAcentral.